CCCCCCCCCCCCCCCAAAAAAAAUCCAAGAUUAUGAUGGAGAUUGACACUUAUUCUGCACAAUAAAACUUUAGAAAAAAAUUAACUUUUUAGACAUGUGAAAGAGGGCAAGAUCAGAAGAUUAACAAUGAAACACUGGCUAGGCCUCACAAGCUAUUUAACACAAACACAAACACUGACUAGGCCUCACAAGCUAUUCAACACAAACUAAUUGCCCUUGUGGUCUACUACUACGUAGCUCAUCCAGUCAAAAUACAAGCAAACAGGAGUCAAAAAAAAAAAAA
This is a non-coding RNA of Biomphalaria pfeifferi, 283 nucleotides long. NCBI's taxonomy places the organism in Eukaryota, Metazoa, Mollusca, Gastropoda, Planorbidae. The record is from the annotation of a GenBank genome assembly.